UUAAUCGACGCAGGGUUAGUCGGUUCCUAAGGCGAGGCUGAAAAGCGUAGUCGAUGGGAAACAGGUUAAUAUUCCUGUACUUCUGGUUACUGCGAUGGAGGGACGGAGAAGGCUAGGCCAGCUUGGCGUUGGUUGUCCAAGUUUAAGGUGGUAGGCUGAAAUCUUAGGUAAAUCCGGGGUUUCAAGGCCGAGAGCUGAUGACGAGUCGUCUUUUAGAUGACGAAGUGGUUGAUGCCAUGCUUCCAAGAAAAGCUUCUAAGCUUCAGGUAACCAGGAACCGUACCCCAAACCGACACAGGUGGUCGGGUAGAGAAUACCAAGGCGCUUGAGAGAACUCGGGUGAAGGAACUAGGCAAAAUGGCACCGUAACUUCGGGAGAAGGUGCGCCGGCUAGGGUGAAGGAUUUACUCCGUAAGCUCUGGCUGGUCGAAGAUACCAGGCCGCUGCGACUGUUUAUUAAAAACACAGCACUCUGCAAACACGAAAGUGGACGUAUAGGGUGUGACGCCUGCCCGGUGCCGGAAGGUUAAUUGAUGGGGUUAGCGCAAGCGAAGCUCUUGAUCGAAGCCCCGGUAAACGGCGGCCGUAACUAUAACGGUCCUAAGGUAGCGAAAUUCCUUGUCGGGUAAGUUCCGACCUGCACGAAUGGCGUAACGAUGGCGGCGCUGUCUCCACCCGAGACUCAGUGAAAUUGAAAUCGCUGUGAAGAUGCAGUGUAUCCGCGGCUAGACGGAAAGACCCCGUGAACCUUUACUGUAGCUUUGCACUGGACUUUGAGCCUGCUUGUGUAGGAUAGGUGGGAGGCUUUGAAGCGUGGACGCCAGUUCGCGUGGAGCCAUCCUUGAAAUACCACCCUGGCAUGCUUGAGGUUCUAACUCUGGUCCGUAAUCCGGAUCGAGGACAGUGUAUGGUGGGCAGUUUGACUGGGGCGGUCUCCUCCUAAAGAGUAACGGAGGAGUACGAAGGUGCGCUCAGACCGGUCGGAAAUCGGUCGCAGAGUAUAAAGGCAAAAGCGCGCUUGACUGCGAGACAGACACGUCGAGCAGGUACGAAAGUAGGUCUUAGUGAUCCGGUGGUUCUGUAUGGAAGGGCCAUCGCUCAACGGAUAAAAGGUACUCCGGGGAUAACAGGCUGAUACCGCCCAAGAGUUCAUAUCGACGGCGGUGUUUGGCACCUCGAUGUCGGCUCAUCACAUCCUGGGGCUGAAGCCGGUCCCAAGGGUAUGGCUGUUCGCCAUUUAAAGUGGCACGCGAGCUGGGUUUAGAACGUCGUGAGACAGUUCGGUCCCUAUCUGCCGUGGACGUUUGAGAUUUGAGAGGGGCUGCUCCUAGUACGAGAGGACCGGAGUGGACGAACCUCUGGUGUUCCGGUUGUCACGCCAGUGGCAGUGCCGGGUAGCUAUGUUCGGAAAAGGUAACCGCUGAAAGCAUCUAAGCGGGAAACUUGCCUCAAGAUGAGAUCUCACUGGGAACUUGAUUCCCCUGAAGGGCCGUCGAGGACUACGACGUUGAUAGGCU
RNAcentral lists this ribosomal RNA (1517 nucleotides) under metagenome. RNAcentral describes it as "bacterial LSU rRNA". It matches the Rfam family "Bacterial large subunit ribosomal RNA", at positions 1365 to 2862 of the family's 2925-position model. The record is from RNAcentral.